UAAGGUUUUCUAAUAAAUUAUGUUUUUAUCAGAUAUGACAGAAUCUUUUUUAAAAUCUCUUCAAUAUGCUUUUAUUGCUUUUGAGAGGUUUUGUUACUUUGAGUAAAAUUAAGUGUUCAUAACAGACGGGUAGUCAUGAUUGAGUUCAUUGUGU
RNAcentral lists this ribosomal RNA (154 nucleotides) under Plasmodium falciparum (malaria parasite P. falciparum). RNAcentral describes it as "partial small subunit ribosomal RNA". The record is from RNAcentral. Lineage: Eukaryota; Apicomplexa; Aconoidasida; Haemosporida; Plasmodiidae.